GACGAACGCUGGCGGCGUGCUUAACACAUGCAAGUCGAACGCUGAAGCUCAGCUUUUGUUGGGUGGACGAGUGGCGAACGGGUGAGUAACACGUGAGUAACCUGCCCCCUUCUUUGGGAUAACGCCCGGAAACGGGUGCUACUACUGGAUAUUCACUGGUCUUCGCCUGGGGGUGGGUGGAAAGGGUCUCUCUGGUGGGGGAUGGGCCCGCGGCCUAUCAGCUUGUUGGUGGGGUGAUGGCCUACCAAGGCUUUGACGGUUAGCCGGCCUGAGGGGGUGCCCGGUAACAUAGGGACGGUGAUGCGGCCCAGACUCCGCCGCGGGGCAGCAGUGGGGACUAUUGGAGAAAGGGCGAAAGAGUGAUGCAGCGACGCCGCGUGAGGGAUGGAGGCCUUAGGGUUGUGAACCUCUUGAGCUAAUGGUCAAGCCGCAACAAUGGUUGUAGUGACGGUAGUGGGUAAAGAAGCGCCGGCUAACUACGUG
This 483-nucleotide ribosomal RNA is filed under the name uncultured bacterium. RNAcentral describes it as "partial 16S ribosomal RNA". It matches the Rfam family "Bacterial small subunit ribosomal RNA", at positions 28 to 507 of the family's 1533-position model. The record is from RNAcentral.